Molecule: RNA transcript, 12844 nt
Organism: Hypanus sabinus (Atlantic stingray)
Lineage: Eukaryota; Metazoa; Chordata; Chondrichthyes; Myliobatiformes; Dasyatidae
Gene name: F-box/WD repeat-containing protein 7-like
Exons: 12
Source: RefSeq, a predicted model, not a curated record
AUAUCAACUAUUUCUCUUGUUUUAGCAAAUAAAAGGAAGUGAGGCAUUUUAUAUUUAAUGAAACCAGUAACACACUUUAUUUAACUCCAAAACCUAAACACAAAAACGCGCUAUAAAAGUUCUUACGUAACAACGUCAUCACGUCAGACACCAGCCUCUUAAAGCGAAACCCCCACUCAAUGGCGGUGUUUGUGAAUUAUGUAGUUUCCCCAAUUAUGUUACCCUACACCCUUACCACAAAUACCGACUUAUUAGCUGAUUUCAGCAUUUUAUGAUUUCUAAAUACGAUAAAUACUGGAAAUCUUAAGUUAAAAUAAUAUUUAAAAUUGACAAAUCAAUGUUCUUUAUCCUCAUUCUAAAUAUACAGACGAUUACCUGAGAAUGAAAACAUACUGCAGUUUCACUAGAAUUAAAAGUAGCAGCGCCCAACGUGGGGCUCGAACCCACGACCCUGGGAUUAAGAGUCCCAUGCUCUACCGACUGAGCUAGCCGGGCUCUGAAUAGAACGCUGGACGCACUAUUCUAAUGAGAAAUUACGUUAGUUUCAUGAUCUUUAGAUUAUUAUUUGGGUAGUAUUUUAAUUCGCGUCCUUGGCUGUUCCGACGUCGCCGCUAGGAUACCGCCCGUGGUCUUUAGCCUGCGUGAAUGACGAAGCAUGAAAUAAAUAUUGCGAGAGAAAAAUACAUAAAAUUAAACGUUUAAAAUAAGCAGUAGUUAAGCUUCUCAAGGAAGAAAAAAUAAGUCCUUCGAGCCGGAAUCGAACCAGCGACCUAAGGAUUUCUCCGUACGUCCUACAGUCCUCCGCUCUACCAGCUGAGCUAUCGAAGGCCUACGGAAGUUUUUGCUCAGAAGAAUUUAAGGAUGAAGCCAAUUGUUUCAUAUUUGGUCACCAGCAGCUGCCAUUUCAAUGGCUUUUUUCAGUCAGCGCUGGAAGAUCUGGACAGUAAAAUGCAUAUGUCAGGAUGCUCCUCAUUGACUUACUGUGGUGAACUAUGUGCCUGUCGGGACACGCCCCUGCUGACUGCUCCUGUGGCUCCUCCCACAGGCCCCUGUAUAAAGGAGAUCUGAGGCCUGACGCUCGGCCUCAGUCUCCAGGACAUAGUAUGAUGGACACUCAUUCCUGGUUCCUUCUUCCAGUCAAUAAAAGCCGAUAUCUCGCCUUACAUCUCAGUGUGAGUUAUUGAUGGUGCAUCACUUAGUUCAGCAUUCAACAAUAUCACCCCUUAAAAUUAAUCUGUAAGCUUCAAGUCCUAGACCUCAAUACCUUCUUGUGCAACUAGAUCUUCGUUUUCCUCACUUGCAGACUCCAGUCAGUUUCGGAUCAUCAACAUCUCCUCCACAAUCGCCAUCAGCAGAGGCGCACCACAAGGCUGUGUGCUUAGCCCCCUGCUCUCCCUUAAUAUUUGUGACUGUGAGGUUAAGCACAGCUCCAAUGCCAUACUUAGAGUUCCUGACGACACUACUGUUGUUGGCCGAAUCAAAGGUGGUGAUGAAUCGGCAUAUAGGAGGGAGACUGAAAAUCUGGCGCUUUCACUCAAUGUCAGUGGAACAAGGAGCUGAUUAUUGACUACAGGACUACAUUGACUAAUAUUUUGUAUAGUGACUUUGGAACGAUACCAGUUGGAGAUGCUACUGUUGGGAUAAGGUAUACCCUGAUCAUAUUCCAUAGUCCUUCAAUUUCCUCUUUUAAUUCAGCAUACUUCUAGUGUUUUCACUUAAUAAUUUCUGUAUGUUGUGUGUGUUUGGAAUAGCUAUAUCUAUGAAGUAAGUUGCUCUUACUUUUUUAUCCUGUAAUUUUAUAUCCAGAUGGUUAUUAUGGAUUGGCCUAUCUGUAAUAAUGGAUCAGUCAUAAUAACAUUUUUAGAAUUCUGUCUCUAAAACUGGAUCUGGCAUGUAUUUAUAGUAAGGUAGGGUGUCUUUUAUGAGUUUGUAUUUUAAAGCAAGAUUCUGGUGAAUGAUGUUUGCCACUUGAUUGUGUUUGUGUCUUUAAUCAGAUUGAGUUAAACUGCUGUAGGAUCCUGUAAUGUGUUAGAUUGUUUCUAGUUCCCUUGGCAUUUUUUGCAUUUGUCAUCUUCAAUUUGUUGGUCUUUUAUUAUGUAUUUUUGAUAGUUUUUUUCUGUUAACCAUCUCAUCCUGUUUCUGGGAAAAGAACUACAACUCUGAGCUGGGUGUUCAACACCUCCUUAUCAACAUCUACUAUGAUCAGAUCAUGGGGAUGUCUUUCAUGGAAGAUCAUGCUCUUCCAUUGGUUAACUUUUUCUUCUUUAGUAAUAAUUUCUUCAUUUUUCUGGGUUGUGCUUUCAUUUUAAGUUUAGUGGUGUGUACUUCUUAUCAGAAUUACAUAUGCUUGCAUGGAGUGCUGAAUCCUGAAUAAUAAACCAUCGAAAAAUACCAACAGAUCAACAUGAUAAAUGCAUAAAAUAUCGAGAACCAGAAACAAUCCAACACAUUACACAAUCCUGCAGUAGUUUAACUCAAUGGACUACUGAUUAUUAUUAUAUUAUAACAAUACAGUUCCACACAGGAUGGUAUUGGCUCCAUCCCUGUUUACACUUUGCACUUUCAAUACAACAGAGUCAUGUCAUCUGCAGAAAUUCUCUGAUGACUCAGCAAUAGUUGGGUGUAUAAAGGGAGGAUGGGAGGAUGAAUACAGGGCCCUGGUGGAGGACUUUGUCAAAUGGUGCAAGCUGAAUCAUCUGCAGCUCAACAUUAGUAAGUCAAAAGAGAUGGUAAUGGACAUUAGGAUGAUUAAGCCUGCAUUGCUCACUGUUACUGUUGAUCUCAAGGACAUGGAUGUGGUGAAGACCUACAAGUACCUGGGGCUGCACCUAGAUGACAGACAUGAGUGCAGCACCAACACAGAGGCUGUGUACUAGAAGGGCCAGAGUCACCUCUACUUCCUGAGAAGACUGAAGUCCUUUGGAGUAUGCAGGCCUUUCCUUCACAUGUUCUAUCAGUCUGUUGUUGCCAGCACAAUCUUUUACGUUGUGGCAUGCUCGGACAAUGGCAUCAACAUAGGUGAAGCCAACAGGCUCAAUAAACUGAUUAGACUGACUGGCUCUGUUAUAGGAGUCAAACUGGACACACUGGAGGUUGUAUUAGAACCAAGGACCCUAUGGAAAAUCCGGACAAAUCUGGACAAUAUUUCUUGCCCUGUGCAUGCCACCUUGGCUGAACAAAGGAGCACUUUUAGUAAUAGACUAAGACAAUUGUGCUUCUCCAAAGAGCGCUAUAUGAGGUCAUUCUUACCUGGGCCAUUAAGCUCUAUAAUGAGUCAAUCUAUAGCCGGGGAAAUGAUGACCCCCUUUUGUUGGACUGCUUGUAGUAACUUGUAUUAUUUUUUAUUCUUUCAGCUUCUCUUCUAAUACUAACAUAGGUGCAUUUGUAAUGCUACAGUGACACUAAUUUCCUUUGCAAUCAAUACAGUACCUAUCUAAUUAUUAUCCUUACAACAAAUAGCAAAUCAACAUUAAGUGAUAAUUAAUGUUUGGCACAGCAUUGUUAGCCAAAGGGCCUGUAUUGUGCUGUAGGUUUUCUAUGCUUCUAAAAAAUACUUAAUCUCUAUGGACAUGUUAAACCAAGGAAUACAUGAAGUUGCACAAGAGCCAGAAAGAAACCAAUCUAAAGACAAUGACGAUGCUAUACAAGAAAAUAAUGAAGAUGCCAUACCCCCCACAAUGAAUGAAAUAGAAUUACCUCAACACUGCUCCACAACCUGAUGGCAAUAGCAACAACUUAAAUGUACAGCCUCCACAGAAUGCUGUUGACAAAGUUGAGCUUACAGAAAAAACUAUCUUAACAUUUAACAUCACACUAAGAGAAUACAUGGGCACCAACCCAACAGAAAGACCUUAUAUAUCAAAACAAAUAUGCAAAGAUGUUAAUACUCUGAACAAUAUGACCACAGUAUUUAAAAAAAUUGAAACAUUUGAAGAACUGCACAUAAUAACAUCACAUGAUAGCAUUAAGAUCAAUUAUCAUUAACUCAUUAUUAGCAAACCAAAACUGAUAAAUGAAAUCAGAACAUCAAAAUGGCAGAAGGGAUUAAGAAACAAAAUUGAAACGUUAAGAGCAGAAUUAGUCUGCCUAACGUAGUAUAAAAUGGAAGACCUGAGUAAGAAAGUUCAGAGAAAAGAUCAGAAAAUACUAAGGAAAUAUAAAGUCCACACAAAAUAUGACAAAUAUACAAAAUAUAACAAAAGCUUUGUAGAAUUUAUACACUAAAACAAAACAAAAGCUUGGUGCAUACAAAGCCAGACUCAAUAGAUACAUGACAUGCAACAGAUGAAGAAAACAGAAUUAUCAGUUCAAGAAAAAUGAAGGUGGUUUAUACAGAACAUUGAAACUAAAUUCAAUGCAUGAAAAUGUUACUAACAGUAUUACCAACAAACACUGAGAUAAUGAACUUUUGGUCUAAUAUCUGGUCAAACAGAUACACAAUCAAGAAGCAAGUUGGAUUAGGAAGAAGAAAGAAAACACACACACAUUUGAAGGCAUGCAAACAUCUGAAGUUAAAAUGGACAUGGUAAAAAAGGUUAUAAAAAUACCCACAAUUGGAAAAGUUUUGGCAGUAAUAAUAUUCAUUAUUAUUGGUAUAACAAUGUACUUGUCUUCUUCCAUUAAUACAUGUCGACAACUUUCUUAAAAAUGCUGAAAAGAUGCCCGAAUUUUUGAAAAUAAAAUAUAUCCUUUAUCUAAAGGAGAAAUCACAAAUAACACAACAAAAUAUCAUCCUAUUACUUGUUUACAAACUACAUACAAAUUUGUAACAUCAUGCAUCUCACAACUAAUCACCACAAUAUACUUACAGAAGAGCAGAAAGGACGCCGUAAGUGUAUGAAAGGAUGUAAAGAACAUCUGAUAAUAGAUUCUGCAAUUCUAAAUCAAGCCCGGAGGAAAAGCAGAAAUAUUCCAUGUUGUUAUAUUGACUACCAAAAAGCAUUUGAUUCUGUGCCACACUCAUGGUUAAUAUAAGUUCUUAAUAUACUAUAAUAUAUUAUAUAUAAACUACACCCAUGACUUGUGAAAAUCCUAUAACAUCUGAUGAAGCUUUGGUGUACUAUAAUCACUAUCUAUUUGCAACUAAGGAAGAACAGCCACCAUAUCAAAAUAAACCAUGGCAAUUUUCAGGGUGAUUCUCUAAGCCCACGAUGAUUUUGGCUAGUUUUAAACUGCUCUCUAAUUUACUGAAACACACAUUAAUAGGGUAUCAAAUCAAAAACAAACAAAUUAUACCUUGACACACCUUCUAUACAUGGACGAUCUGAAAGUAUACGGUCCUUUAUCAGUUAAGCUAAAGCAAUUAAUUCAAAUAGUAGAACUAAUUUCAAAAGAAAUAAACAUGAACUUUGGACUAGAUAAGUGCAGAACAUUAAAAAUAAAGAAAGGUGCAAUAUAGCUAGUAGUAGAAUAUAAAACAGAGCUGCAGCAUGAUGCAAUGCAACUGAUUCAACACGCUAGGUGAGCAUAUGUCAUUCUGAUAAGAAGUACACUCCACUGAACUUAUAUGAAAGCACAACAAAAAAAAUAUCACUAUAGAAGAAAAAGUUAACCAAUGGAAGAGCAAGACCCUCCAUGGAAGACAUCCCCAUGACCUUGGGAAUACUGGAUAUCAACUAAGUAUGGAACGCCUGGCUCAGAGUUGAGGACCCCUUCCCAGCAACAGGGUUUCCUUGUGGCAAUACAGGACCAGGUAGGUGGUUAACACAAAAAGAUCAAAAAUAUAUAAUAAAAGAUCAACAAAUUGAAAACGUCACAUUACAGGAUCCUGCAGAAAUUUAACUCAAGUCUGAUUACUUACACAGGUACAAUCAAUCGGCAAAUAUCACCCACCAAAAUCUUACUUUAAAAAUCAAACUCAUAAAAGACACUAUACCUUAUUAUGAAUACAAACUGAUCUAAUUUUAGCGUUAGAGUCCUUCAAAUUAUAUUAUGACCAUUCCAUUAUUACAGAUAGGGUAAUCCAUAUAAACCAUUCAGAUAUAAUAUUACAGGAUAAACAAGUAACUUACUUGAUCGAUACGUAUAGCCACUCCAAACACACACAACAUACAGAAAUCAAUGUGAAAAACACCUGAAAAAUGCUAACUUUAAAAGUGGAAAUUGAAAGCCUCUGGAAUAUUGUCCUAAUAGAAGUAUCUAUAAUCACUAUCAUUCUAAUGUCACCUCACAAUAGCAUUAAACAAUUAGGCCUACUCAGCAAUAUGUGUGUUAAUCUUCAGAAAACCACAAUACUAUUAAAUACCACUAGAUUUUUUUUUACCACUAGGAUAGUCCAAAAGAUCCUAGCAAUUGGGAACUGAGUGUGCUGCCCGUACCUAAGGUUUUACCAGCUUGAGCAAGAAAGAAAAAUUAUUAUUAUUGUAUUUGCGCAGUUUGUUGUCCUUUGCACAUUGGCUGUUUGUCUAUCUUGUUGAGUGGGGUCUUUAAUCGAUUCUAUUGUAUUUCUUUGUAUUUACUGUGAAUGUGCGCAAGAAAAUGAAUCUCAAAGAUGUAGAUGCACUUUGAUAACAAAGUUACUUUCAACUUUCAAAUAUAUCAACCUUCCUUUAUCUUCAUUGGAUCUAAGUCUUGGAACUACAGUGCAACACCUUUAGCAGAAUGAUAGCAAUUUUUGUCCUGAUGAAGGGUUUGGCCCGAAACGUCGACUUUUCAUUAUUUUCAUAGAUGUUAGCUGAUCUGCUGAGUUUCCUCCAUCAUUUUGAGUGUGUUGCUCUGAAUUUCCAGAGUCGGCAGAAUCUCUUGUGAUUUGCAGUUUUUCGUGGCAGCUCAUAUCCCUCUUCAUGAGAGUAAUUGAUUGGCCUUGAGACAGAUGCCCACAUCACGAGAAAUUAAUGGGGGGAAAAAGCUGCUUGGGGUGCGAAAUAUCUGAACAAAUGCUAGGAGCUCCGCACCGUCAAAAAUCAGAUGCCUCAUAUACCACAGUGAAGUCAUUCUAAUGUAGCCGCUCAUAGCCCGGCUAGCUCAGUCGGUAGAGCAUGGGACUCUUAAUCCCAGGGUCGUGGGUUCGAGCCCCACGUUGGGCGUUAAGGUUUUUAAAAAUGUUCAACCUACUUUUUAUAAAAACUUAUUUGGCAUUUGAAUAAAAAGUCUCAAAAUAUGAAACACAUCGAUCACAUCCUUCAUAUACAAAGACGACGAUUGUGUCCGGGCAGUGAAAGCAAAAUAUGAAUUCCUCUCUUCCCACUAGCCCUGGAUCGAAGUUCAUUGAAAACACCAGAAUGAAAAUCUAAUGCACGUCACACAGAUAGUUAUUGCCUUCAGCGACUUGUGUUACUUGUGAAGUGGGUUGAUUUGCCCCGGAACUCGCCUGUGGUAGCUGCAGGGCCGAAGUCGCCGGUUGCUAUGGGAGCGGUUGGGCGUCUGGUCGUUGGGCCCUGGAGGCGGUACGGCCGCAGGUAGGUGCGUGGCCCAGAAAUGGACGGGUUACCCGAGGAGAAAAUGGACCUGAUCGCUUCUGCGUUCAGCUGUCUGACAGUGAAGCAGCAGAGUGAGGUGAUGUCGCGGUUACUCCGCUCUUGUCAGCUGCCACAGCUGAAGGAGAUCUACAAUGAAUUGUGUCCCAUGUUAUCUAUUGAUUUUGUGUCAACGCUACCCCGAGAGUUGGUGGAAAGAAUAUUUGCAUAUUUAUCUGCAGAGGAUCUAUUCAGAAUGGCGUGCUGUAACAAAUCAUGGAGGGAAUUUGCAAACACUGAUGUUCUAUGGCAACCAUUAUGUACUCUGAAAAACUGGCUUAACUUUGACACUGAUGAGCAACUCUUCUCUAAAAACCAGUAUGGUUUCAGUCCCACAGGUCUCACAUCUCCCAGGUACAACAGACCUAAUUUUUCUGAUUUUCCAUCAUUGUCUCCAACCUGUCGAUGGAAGGAGAUAUACAUUAGGGCUUGUCACUUAAAUCAAAACUGGGAAUUGGGCAGAUAUACGGUUCUACCUUUACUUCGAGGCCAUCAAGAAAGAGUGGAUUGCCUAGAUUGUGAUGGGAAAUGGCUGGUUAGUGGAAGUUCAGACAAAACUGCCCGUGUAUGGGAUCUCUUCACUGCAUGCUGUCUGCAUGUUCUGGAUAACCAUACAGAUGCUGUCACCUGUGUUUGCAUUAAGAAAGAGGUCAUUGUAACAGGUUGUGCCGACAGCUUGAUUCGAAUUUUCCAAUUGGAAACAGGGAUUUGUCUACGAGCACUGAUGGGCCACAGCUCAGGAAUUGAUCACCUAUGUUUUGAUGGAACACAAGUGGUCAGCGCCAGCUCAGAUAGAACUCUUCGAGUUUGGUCAGUUCAGGAUGGAUGGUGUAGGAAAAUACUCCGAGGUCAUGAAGAUGAGAUUCAGCACUUGUCGAUGAAAGAGCAUCUAGUUGCUAGCACAUCCUGGGACCACACAGUAAGAAUAUGGAAUGUACAGAGAGGAGUAUGUACAGCUGUUCUAAAAGGCCAUACAGAAGUGGUGAACUGUUGUCAGUUUGACUGUCGAUAUGUGGUGAGUGGAGCAGGGGAUUGCUUAGUUCUUAUCUGGUCAGUAGACAGUGGAAGAUUGCUGCAUAGGUGUCAAGGACACACGGGAGAUGUGGUAAGUAGCUUCCAUAAGGUGACAGAUGGAAACCAUAUAUUAUUGUAGUAUUUUUUCUCAAAUUUAAAGAGAGAAUAUAAAGACAAAGUGAAAGAAAGUGUUACAAACAUUUCCAAGAGAUAGCACCAUCAAAUGUGUUGUCAUUUGUAGACACAGUAAUUUACACACUGUUCAUCCACUGGUAUUGAUGAAAACUGAAACAGUGACAAAUUUCAAAAAUACAUUGUAAUGAUAUCUCCACAAAUUCACAUUCCUAGUCACUGAGUGUGCUGUAAGAAAGUCAGGACAGUACUAGCAGAAAUUGCUGAAAAUCCCCAGCAUCUGGGGGGAGAAAUAAAAUUUUUGUUCAUAACAUUUGAUCGAAGCAUUUUCAUCUCCUUUUCCUCUCCACAGACAGUAGUAUUACCUAACUUAAUAAUUUCCUUCAUUUUCUGCUCUUAUUUUAAUGUAUGAGGGAAAUCCAGUAUUCUGACCCUGUGCCUGUAGCAAUAUUUUGCUCUUUAAGGCAUCACACAAUGUCUUUCUAUUUUAGAACUUAACUUGUCUGAGGCAUUUAUAGACAUUUAUACAAAAGAUAUAAGCACAAAAUAUUACCAGUUAAGUAUCCUGCAUCAUUCACAUUUUCACAAAAACACUCAUAAGGUGAAAUCACACUGUGCAAUAUUAACAUAAUGUGCAAAAAUCAUGUUUUAGUAUAGUCAUUAACUCACUAUUUUAAAAUUAUUUCUUAAACAAUGAUCAAAAAUAUGCAAGCAAACUAGCCUGCAUUUUGAGAUAAUACUUGGACAAAUAAGAAGAGGAAACAUAAAAUGGCAUCAUCACUAAAUUUACUGGUACAUUGAAAAGAAAUUGCAAUGAGGUAGUGACACCAAAUAUCUCAUUGACUAUAAUUAACAUAUCAAUUGAACAAUUCAAAACACAAAGUUCAAAGUAAAUUUAUUAUCAAAGUACAUAUGCCACUAUAUACAACCCUGAGAUUAAUUUUCUUGUGGGCAUACUUAAUAAAUCCAACAACCAUAAUAGAAUCACUGAAAGACUGCAACCACCGGGUGGACAACUAGUGUGCAAAGGACAAUAAAUCCAAUAACCAUAAUAGAAUCACUGAAAGACUGCAACCAGCGGGUGGACAACUAGUGUGCAAAGGACAACAAACUGCAAAUACAGAUGUGCUCCAGGAUGGGAUGACUUUACCUGUGAUGGACUGGGCUGUAUCCACUUUUUUGUAGGAUUUCCUGUACUAGGAAAUUGGUGUUUCCAUACCAGGCUGUGAUGGAGCCAGUCAAUAUACUUUCCAUUACACACCUAUAGAGGUUUGUUAGAUUUUUAGAUGUCAUGCCAAAUCUUUGCAAACUUCCAAGGAAGUAUAGAGGCACCACCAUGUUUUCUUCAUAAUUACACUUAUGUGCUGGGCUUAGAACAGGUUUUCUGAAAUGAUAACACCAAGGAAUUUUAAAUUGCUGAUGCUAUCCACCUCUGAUCCCCCGAUAAGGAUUGGCUCAUGAACCUCUGGUUUCCUCUUCUUGAAGUCAAUAAUCAGCUCCUUGGUCUUGCUGACAUUGAGUAAGAGGUUGUUGUUGGGGCACUAUGCAUUAGGGAUUGGGUUAAGAUUAGUCAACCAGAUUUUCAAUCUCCCUCCUUUACACUGAUUCAUCAUCUUUGAUUUGGCCAACGAAAGUACUGUCAUCAGUAAACUUAAGUAUGGUAUUGGAGCUGUGUCUAGUCAUAAUCAUAAAUGUAAAGCGAGAAGUGCAUAGCCUUGUGGUGCACCUGUUCUGAUGGAUAUUGUGGAGGAGAUGUUGUUGCCAAUCUAAACUGGCUGGGGUCUGCAAGUGAGGAAAUUUCCCAAGGAGGUAUUGAGGCCAAGGUCUUGAAGGUUAUUGAAUAGCUUAGAGGGGAUGAUAGUAUGAAUGCUGAGCUAUAGUCAAUAACGAGCAUCCUGAUGUAUGCAUUUUUUGCUGUCCAGAUAUUCCAGGGUUGAGUGAAGAGCCAGUGGGAUGGCUUCUGCUGUGGACCUGUUGUGCCAGUAAAGCAAAUUGGAGUGGAUCCAAGUCAGUUCUCAAGCAGGAGUUUCCCUUGAUGUGGCUUUCCUUGUAUAAUACUCUUGCCAUUUGGACUAUCACUAACAUUAUACAACAAUCUAUGUACAGAUAUUCACAAAAAGUCAAAAAUGCAUUGUUCGUGUAAUAUGGACUUUCAACCAACCACAAGUGUCACCGUAGGAUACCAUAAAAGUGGUGAAGUUAUAGGAGUUUUAAGUUGUGCUGAUUUGGUCCUACAUUCUGACUUGUUCUUUUCUAUUAUAAAAAAAGGAUUUCACUUUCUUAUGGUAGUUGUCAUGAUAUUAUCAUGUUGCCAGAUUAGUGCCCCAGUGUUCUGAAAAGAGAAUUCUGAACUGUCUCCAAGCUGACAUCACCUAUGUAUGUUCCUAGAGCAGGUGGUAUGUAUCAAUACAACUCAUGAAAUCUUCACUGAGCAUUCCACUGGAAUAUUAAGCUCACACUUUAGGACUUGUAUCUGCUUAUUUACUGCUGAAGCACAGCAAUAAAUUCCAUGUGAAAUCUUUAGAGUAAUGAUUUUCUAAAGAUUAUCUUGAGUCAUGGUCUUAUAUGGUUCCUGCAGCAUUUUAUGGCACAAAGAGACAUAAGUAAAAUUUAUCAUCUAAGUAUGUACAAGUUGCAAUUUGCUACCCUGACAUCCAUUUUUUUGCAGGCAUUUGCAGAAAAAUAAAGAAAUAAAAUAGAAAUUAUAGAAAACUAUACUUAAAGACUGACAAACAACCAAUGUGGAAAGGACAAAUCAUGCAAAUGAAAAAUGUAAUAUUGAGAACAUAAGUUGUACAGUCUUUGAAAGUGAGUUUGUAGAUUGUAGAUUCUGUUCAGAGUUGUGGUGAGUGAAGUUAUCCAUUCCAGUUCAGAAGCCUGAUGGUUAUAUAAUAAUAACUAUUAUUUCUUUCUUCAAACAUAUAGCACCUGUGAUCCAGCAACCACUUCCUCUGGCACUCAUUUCAAUUUUGUGUCACCCAUACUUACUAAGCUUUGUGCAUUUCAUCCAAAUUACUUAUAUAAAUUUUGGUCUCAACACCAACCCCUGAGGCACACUACCAGUUACUGGCUUCUAUUCCAAGAAGCAACCUUCAGAUGUUAAAGUGAAAUGUAUUAACUCUCCCUGGACUCCAAGUAACCUAACCUUCCAGAACAGCCUUCCAUAUGGGACCUGGUCAAAAUUCUCGUUACAGACCAAAUAGACUACAUCUUUUAACAAACCCUCUUCAACAAACUCUAAAAGGCUUGCCGAGCACAGCUUGACAUGCACAAAGCCAAACUGAUUCCCCUUAAUCAAACUGCAUCAAACUAAAUGCUGAUUGACCCCAUCCCACAGUGACUUCCCCACUACUAAUGUCAGGCUAGUCAGCCUGUAAUUCUCUGGCUUUUCCUUAUUACCCUUCUCAAACAAUGAAACUUUCACCACCUUCCAGUCUUUGGAACUGAGUCAGGUAAUGAAGUAACUUGUUUUUCCAUAGUCCAAAAAAAUCCAUGCCUAAUAUAGGAUGGUAUAUUUUCAUCCUAUUACCAUUUCACUUAGCACUUUAUCCAAAUAAGGAAUGUUCUAAGGUAUCUUGUUUCAACUUGCUAAAUAAAUUUCUCCCUAAAAAUGAUCCAUAUUUUCUAUUAUUCCUUUUAAAAAUCUGCUUUUCAGUAUUUUUCUUCUCCAAACUUACCAAUUUUUCUUCCUCUUAGAACAAAAUAUGGAUAUAUUAAAUUUUGUCACUUCUUUAGUCUGCAUUUUCAGUUUUUUCACUUCAAUCACAUAGUGUUCAUAGAAGAAAACAAAAUAUAUUAAGUUUUAUAAGUAAAACGGAUCAGAUUAAAUUAGUACUAUUUUAUGAAAAUGUAGAAGGAUAAGUAAAAAUUUUAUGAAAUGAUUUAGAGCUAUGACCACUCAAGUGCAGCAUGCCUACUGGAACUAAUUUCUGUAAUUUUUCCUGUUCUUGUCAUUGUAUCUAAUACUGCCCCCUUGGGCUCUCAGUUGGUCAGCAGUCAUAAUUUUUCAUGUAUUUCCGUCCAGCAUCAGAUCACUCAGAAACAAGACCCCUUGGUAACUAUAAGCUUUGUCCAUUGAUGUCAUGGUAUUGGAAGGACCUUGACUUUCAGUACUGUUUGAAGUUUAAUGAGGAGUCAAUCUGCUCUGGUUCAUCAGAUAGCACCAUUCGAGUCUGGGACUUUACAGGAAAAUGUCGUUUCAUUAUGACUGAACAUAUUGGGGUGGUGAGGAGUCUACACCUGAA